UUUGAGUGGUUUUGUUAAAUAUUGAAGUGUUAUUAUAUUAUAUAAUUAUUCGCCUUAAGAAUAUUUUAGUUAUCUUUUUUAUUAAAAAGUCCGCACAAGAAUAUGUUUUUUUUAAUUUAGUAUAACUUCACGAUCAAAUAAACACUAUAGUAUUUAUUUCGAAAGUUGUUUAUUGAUUUUAGUGAGAUUUUCUGUGUUUCUUUUUAUUGUUUUUAUGGAGCCGAUUUAAAAGACGUCCGUCUUAUAACUUGAUAACUAUCAAGUUAUAUUUAUUUAAUUGCAGAGAACAGAAAAUUACAAAUGUCUUCAAUUUAAGCGCUAAAUCUAUCAUUUUUGGCUUCUGAGAUUCAUAAGAUACAGCUUAAUUACAAUUGGAAUCGAUGUCGACAAACCACAAAGAAAGAGCGAGCGACGAAUUAAAAUUAAGCGACAUACCACAUUUUCUGGCGCUAAUUAGAAAAAAUCAAAGCAAAAUGAUGUUUUUGUUUAAAAUUAGAAUUAUUUUUCAGAAUAAAUAGAAAUGGUUAAAAAAUUCUUCAGAAUAAAA
Long non-coding RNA from Lucilia sericata (common green bottle fly), 547 nucleotides. RefSeq lists it as uncharacterized. Lineage: Eukaryota; Metazoa; Arthropoda; Insecta; Diptera; Calliphoridae. The record is from RefSeq and is a predicted model, not a curated record. The transcript is spliced from 2 exons.